CUGAGAGUUUGAUUCUGGCUCAGAACGAACGCUGGCGGCAGGCUUAACACAUGCAAGUCGAACGAUAUAGUGGCAGACGGGUGAGUAACGCGUGGAAACGUGCCUUUCACUACGGAAUAGCUUUUGGAAACGAAAGGUAAUACCGUAUACGCCCUCCGGGGGAAAGAUUUAUCGGUGAAAGAUCGGUCCGCGUUAGAUUAGCUAGUUGGUGAGGUAACGGCUCACCAAGGCUACGAUCUAUAGCUGGUCUGAGAGGAUGAUCAGCCACACUGGGACUGAGACACGGCCCAGACUCCUACGGGAGGCAGCAGUGGGGAAUAUUGCACAAUGGGCGCAAGCCUGAUGCAGCCAUGCCGCGUGAAUGAUGAAGGCCUUAGGGUUGUAAAAUUCUUUCGCCAGGGAUGAUAAUGACAGUACCUGGUAAAGAAGCCCCGGCUAACUUCGUGCCAGCAGCCGCGGUAAUACGAAGGGGGCUAGCGUUGUUCGGAAUUACUGGGCGUAAAGCGCACGUAGGCGGACUUUUAAGUCAGAUGUGAAAUCCCGAGGCUCAACCUCGGAACUGCAUUUGAAACUGGGAGUCUAGAGAUCAGGAGAGGUUAGCGGAAUACCGAGUGUAGAGGUGAAAUUCGUAGAUAUUCGGUGGAACACCAGUGGCGAAGGCGGCUAACUGGACUGAUACUGACGCUGAGGUGCGAAAGUGUGGGGAGCAAACAGGAUUAGAUACCCUGGUAGUCCACACCGUAAACGAUGAGUGCUAGUUGUCUGCAGGCAUGCCUGUAGGUGACGCAGCUAACGCAUUAAGCACUCCGCCUGGGGAGUACGGCCGCAAGGUUAAAACUCAAAGAAAUUGACGGGGGCCCGCACAAGCGGUGGAGCAUGUGGUUUAAUUCGAAGCAACGCGCAGAACCUUACCUACGCUUGACAUGCCCGGACGAUUUCCAGAGAUGGAUCUCUCCCUUCGGGGCCGGUGCACAGGUGCUGCAUGGCUGUCGUCAGCUCGUGUCGUGAGAUGUUGGGUUAAGUCCCGCAACGAGCGCAACCCUCAUCCUUAGUUGCCAUCACGUUUGGGUGGGCACUCUAGGGAAACUGCCGGUGCUAAGCCGGAGGAAGGCGGGGAUGACGUCAAGUCCUCAUGGCCCUUACGCGUAGGGCUACACACGUGCUACAAUGGCAGUGACAAUGGGAUAAUCCCCAAAAGCUGUCUCAGUUCGGAUUGUCGGCUGCAACUCGCCGGCAUGAAGUUGGAAUCGCUAGUAAUCGUGGAUCAGCAUGCCACGGUGAAUACGUUCCCGGGCCUUGUACACACCGCCCGUCACACCAUGGGAGUUGGAUCUACCCGAAGAUUGUGAGCUAACUUCGGAGGCAGCAAGCCACGGUAGGUUCAGCGACUGGGGUGAAGUCGUAACAAGGUAGCCGUAGGGGAACCUGCGGCUGGAUCACCUCCUUU
RNAcentral lists this ribosomal RNA (1447 nucleotides) under uncultured bacterium. Its description in RNAcentral is "bacterial SSU rRNA". It matches the Rfam family "Bacterial small subunit ribosomal RNA". The record is from RNAcentral.